Long non-coding RNA from Chinchilla lanigera (long-tailed chinchilla), 2591 nucleotides. RefSeq lists it as uncharacterized. Lineage: Eukaryota; Metazoa; Chordata; Mammalia; Rodentia; Chinchillidae. The record is from RefSeq and is a predicted model, not a curated record. The transcript is spliced from 3 exons.
CGAGUCGAAGCUGUGAUGCGGUGGCUGGGAUCUGUCACUCAGCGUCGCGGCCGCUGACGACUUGGGCAGCCUCAGCUGUAAGCAGCCCGUGAUUUAUGGACACCCAGUGAACUCCUGCGGCAGGAACCAGCCUGGAGAUCACAGCGGCAAUAGGGCCCUUUUUUUGGCAGGAGACAGGGCCUGCAUUUUUCUCAUUCAUGCCAAACUGCUUUGCACGGCAAUUAGCUCUGUCCUCAUUUAGUCUCCAGUCCCAAAGGGUAAUGAAAGUCAUAUAUCAUCUUCAAGACUGCUAAUUAUUGAGCUCGCUUACAGAGCCAUUUUUCAUGCCAUAACGAACCUGUCUCGGAGAGCCGGAGUGGUGAGGAGAAGCCGGUUCAGGGAGCUGGCUGCGGGUAGGGAAGGGGCUGGGUGGAGGGCCAGGGAGGAAAAAGCAGAAAAGGAAGGGUCCCCCCACCCCGCCCACGUCCAGAGCAGCCCUCCCUCCACCCUCGGCCUCUGGGUGGGGAUGGUGGGGGUGCCUCCCCUGGAUUUGGGGCUUGGGUCAGCUGUGUCCGCUGCUCCAAAGCGUGGGGUGUGCGAGGCUGCUCCUGAGCCGGACUUUGUCUGGGCCUGUUGCCUGCCAUUUGGUCAUCUUGCCACCAAGUGGACCUAGCGUCUGGGUUCCAGACUGUACCAGAAGAUUCCCACAGGUCUGGCUAACUAAGGAAAAGGUUGAUUCUUGCUUCCGUUCAAAUGGACUUAAAAAUAUACUCACCGCUAGGGGCAGGGGUGCAUGCCCGUCAUCCCACCUCUCAGGAGGCUGAGGCAGGAGCAUCGCUGCAAGUUCGAGGCCAGCCAGGGCUACAAAGUGAGACCCUACCUCAAAAAAAUGACUGUUCACUAGGAUAACUGAUGGUUAUUUGAAAGUAGAGAAUGCAAUGAAAACAAAAGCUAAAGCAAUAAAAAUACGUAGGCAGCACUGGAGGGCGUUAUUCAGUGCGUAACCAGUACUCAUCGCUAUGCCUGAGAAGCGCCAUCCUAGGUGUGAGGGGACAGCAGUGACCAGGAGGAGAAGGUCCUUGCCCUGGUGCUUCUGGUCAGUGAUCCAUCGCUGCUCCUGGAGCCUGCUUUGUUUCUCAACUCAACUUAAAUAGCACUAGCUGCCGCCAGCCCUGCCUCACGCCGGAGGAUGUGCGGUUCGUGUGUCUGGCGUGCCAGGCACUGCAGUGAGAACCCCGUGAGCACAUACGGAGCCUUCCUUCAGCAGGCUGUGAUGCUGCUCCUGCCCCCGUCUUCUGGGGGCUGCUCCACCCCACUGUCCCCCGAGCUUGAGCCCCGGUCUGUGUGCGAAACUCCUGGUGUGGUGCGAUUCUGCAGCGGUGGGCCGUGUGGCCUCUGCUUCCUCCUGGACUUCACCACCUCUGAGAGACAGAGGGGCGGACGGCCAUUCUCCUCCCCUGGGACCUCCCCCGGGUCUCCCGGCGUCUCUGGGCCUCGGAGUCCUCCUCUGUGAGCGGAGGGUAGCGGGGCGCCUGCUCACGGGUGCUGUGAAGACGAAAUGCCCUUCAGACCCUGGGCACUGACUGGCGCCCAGGAAGCUGCCGCUUCCUCCCUGCGUUGCCUCUUUCUGUAGGGGGGGGGAAGUGUCCCACGUCUCCUUCCUACCUGCCAGGGUGUGGCUGCUUGCCCUGCCCCUCCUCCCGUCUCCUGCCCACCCUUCCUGCCCCUCUCCAGCCCACCCUCUCCUGGUCCUGGGCCUCUUUCUGUCCCCUGUCCCGGUCCCUGCUCCUGUUCCCGCUCCUCCCGUCCCCACCUGCCAUGUCUAGGCUCUGUGAUGCUUUCUGCACCUUUGACUUCGGGUUCUUGGGAGCAGGUUGUGCAAACUGAACCCCACGGGGGGGGGGUGAGGGCAGCGGGGUGCCCCAGUGAGCAGUCAGUGGAUCGUGUGGCUGUCUCUCGGGCCACCCCUGGGUCUAGUUACAAACUCCCAGAGGAGAACUCCGGUUAUCCAGGCUGGGCAACCCUGGCCUAGCCCUGCCUGAGCCUGGCCCCUUGGCUGUGCUGAGAAGGUGACAUAGGGCGCCGGGUCUGGAGGGGCUACUGCCCACAGCUGUGUGUGGCUGACUGCUGUCCAGGGAGGAGGCCAUGCUGAGCGGGCGGAGGACGGCCGCAACAUGCGGGCCUUGGUGACACCUGUGAGCCAUGCUGUAAGGGGCACUAGCUUCCCAUGUGGGUGACCCCACCCCACAGUCAUGUUUGAACCAGGAGGACAAUCCAUCCAUUUGCAUGUUAUUUUGGUAAACCGGAAAAGUCUGUUGCAGAGACCUGGCCAUGGUUCUCACUGGGUGGCUCCGGCUGAGAUGGGGCUACUCUUCCUGUUACGGUUUAGACCUGGGCACCCCCUGAAAGCCUCGUGUCCUAGGAAGGUGAGUGGAUCAUGGGGCCUGCUCUACUCGUCAGUGGGUUGGUGCCUGGCUCUCCGGCUCCUCCCUUCUCUCUCUGCUUCCUGACCUCCGUGACGGGAGCAGGUUUCUUCGUCUCAACCCUUCCACCAUGCCGCUGCUGCCUUGGAGCCAGCCAGCUCUGCCCUGGAACCUCUAAAGCCGGUGAGU